AGACGUGCGCAGGCGGUUAUGUAAGACAGAUGUGAAAUACCCCGGGCUCAACCUGGGAACUGCAUUAGUGACUGCAUAGCUGGAGUACGGCAGAGGGGGAUGGAAUUCCGCGUGUAGCAGUGAAAUGCGUAGAUAUGCGGAGGAACACCGAUGGCGAAGGCAAUCCCCUGGGCCUGUACUGACGCUCAUGCACGAAAGCGUGGGGAGCAAACAGGAUUAGAUACCCGUGU
Molecule: ribosomal RNA, 230 nt
Filed under: uncultured bacterium
Lineage: Bacteria
Description: partial 16S ribosomal RNA
Rfam family: Bacterial small subunit ribosomal RNA
Source: RNAcentral